RNAcentral lists this ribosomal RNA (870 nucleotides) under uncultured archaeon. RNAcentral's name for it is "bacterial SSU rRNA". It matches the Rfam family "Archaeal small subunit ribosomal RNA", at positions 4 to 882 of the family's 1478-position model. The record is from RNAcentral.
CUGGUUGAUCCUGCCAGACCCGACUGCUAUCGGAUUGGGACUAAGCCAUGCGAGUCAACUCCGCAAGGGGUGGCGCACGGCUCAGUAACACGUAGUCAACCUACCCUGGGGACGGGGAUAACCUCGGGAAACUGAGGCUAAACCCCGAUGGGCCAUGGCUCCUGGAAUGGGCUAUGGCUGAAAUCUACAUGGCCCCAGGAUGGGACUGCGGCCGAUCAGGUUGUUGGUGGGGUAAUGGCCCACCAAGCCUAUAACCGGUGCGGGCUCUGAGAGGAGGAGCCCGGAGAUGGGCACUGAGACAAGGGCCCAGGUCCUAUGGGGCGCAGCAGGCGCGAAACCUCCGCAAUGGGCGAAAGCCCGACGGGGUCAGUCCGAGUGGUUCCCGCUGAGGGAACCUUUUGCCAGCUGUAAACAGGCUGGCGAAUAAGGGGUGGGCAAGUUUGGUGUCAGCCGCCGCGGUAAUACCAGCACCCCGAGUGGUCGGGACGAUUAUUGGGCCUAAAGCAUCCGUAGCCGGCCCAGUAAGUCCUCCGUUAAAUCCAACGGCUCAACCGUUGGGCUGCGGGGGAUACUGCUGGGCUAGGGGACGGGAGAGGCGAGGGGUAUUCCCGGGGUAGGGGUAAAAUCCACUGAUCCCGGGAGGACCACCAGUGGCGAAGGCGCCUCGCUAGAACGUGCCCGACGGUGAGGGAUGAAAGCUGGGGGAGCGAACCGGAUUAGAUACCCGGGUAGUCCCAGCCGUAAACGAUGUAGGCUCGGUGUUGGGCUGACUCAGUGGCAGCCCAGUGCCGCAGGGAAGCCGUUAAGCCUACCGCCUGGGGAGUACGGCCGCAAGGCUGAAACUUAAAGGAAUUGGCGGGGGAGCACCAC